UACGUAGGGACCGAGCGUUGUCCGGAUUCAUUGGGCGUAAAGAGCUCGUAGGCGGCUGCUCAAGUCGAAUGUGAAAACUCGAGGCUCAACCUCGAGCCUGCAUUCGAUACUGGGCGGCUAGAGUCUGGUAGGGGGAUCUGGAAUUCCUGGUGUAGCGGUGGAAUGCGCAGAUAUCAGGAGGAACACCGGUGGCGAAAGCAGCUCUCUGGGACGGUACUGACGCUGAGACGCGAAAGCGUGGGGAGCGAACAGG
Molecule: ribosomal RNA, 253 nt
Filed under: uncultured bacterium
Lineage: Bacteria
Description: partial 16S ribosomal RNA
Rfam family: Bacterial small subunit ribosomal RNA
Source: RNAcentral